GAUGAACGCCGGCGGUGUGCCGUAAUACAUGCAAGUCGUACGCACUGGCCCAACUGGAUUGAUGGUGCUUGCACCUGAUUGACGAUGGAUCACCAGUGAGUGGCGGACGGGUGAGUAACACGUGGGGAACCUGCCCCUAAGUCUGGGAUACCAUUUGGAAACAGGUGCUAAUACCGGAUAAUAAAGCAGAUCGCAUGAUCAGCUUUUGAAAGGCGGCGUAAGCUGUCGCUAAGGGAUGGCCCCGCGGUGCAUUAGCUAGUUGGUAAGGUAACGGCUUACCAAGGCGACGAUGCAUAGCCGAGUUGAGAGACUGAUCGGCCACAAUGGAACUGAGACACGGUCCAU
RNAcentral lists this ribosomal RNA (345 nucleotides) under uncultured bacterium. RNAcentral's name for it is "bacterial SSU rRNA". It matches the Rfam family "Bacterial small subunit ribosomal RNA", at positions 28 to 334 of the family's 1533-position model. The record is from RNAcentral.